Molecule: transfer RNA, 79 nt
Filed under: Macrolepiota fuliginosa MF-IS2
Lineage: Eukaryota; Fungi; Basidiomycota; Agaricomycetes; Agaricales; Agaricaceae
Rfam family: tRNA
About the family: Transfer RNA (tRNA) molecules are approximately 80 nucleotides in length. Their secondary structure includes four short double-helical elements and three loops (D, anti-codon, and T loops).
Source: Rfam by way of RNAcentral
GGCGCUAUAGUGUAGUGGUUAUCACUCAGGAUUCUGAUCUUGCUUUCCUGAAACCCAGGUUCGAACCCUGGUAGCGCCU